This 895-nucleotide long non-coding RNA is filed under the name Chloebia gouldiae (Gouldian finch). RNAcentral describes it as "Erythrura gouldiae (Gouldian finch) lncRNA (ENSEGOG00005004551.1)". The record is from RNAcentral. Lineage: Eukaryota; Metazoa; Chordata; Aves; Passeriformes; Passeridae.
CACAAGGCUGGUGCUGUUCUGUAGAAAGAUCUGCUCAUGCAGAACCGGCUGCAGCAUCUGGAGACCAACUUCCAGGCUUAGGUCAGAAGGUAACUUGGUUGAGACUACAUACAGGCUUUUACUGUCUCAUGCUUUCACUGUGAGAAGCAGAGUAUGGAUCUCCUUCUGUGUAAUGGCUCUUGCUGUUUGUCAGACAUUAAGAGACUCUUCCCUGUUCUGUCAAACUUUGGGCAUGUACAGAUCUGGCAUCAGAGAAGACAAAUUCACAAAGGGAAUUCAGGAGGAAUGCAUUGCUGGGAAACAAGCACCAGCCACCAGCAAGGGAAAUGAAUUCAGAUUGUCAGAGGAUUGUUUCCAUGAAAAUUCCUGAAGUUUUCUGCUGACAAGUGGUGUUAGCAGCUUCUUGGAGGUCAGGUCCUUGCAGGAGAUGGCUUGCAAUCUGCAUGUGAUUAAAUAUGAAUAAUCCUUUCCCUGUUCAGCAAGGUAAGCACUGCUGAGAAUCCCAUUGAGUCUGAUGUGAAUUAAGCAUGUGGUGUGGUAUUUUCUUGGACAGGAUGAGGCCGUGCACAGGCCUUGGUGACUGGGCAAUCUGUAAGAGCCAGUGUUUGUUGUGAAGGUAAUCAUAGCCUCAGCACAGGCUGUACGUGUCUGCAGGCAGAUGUGGAAGCCAUAAUGAUUUGAUGGACAGGUAUGAGGAGUUGCAGAGGUUAAUCAGAAAUCCAAAUGCAUUUGUUUGUUUGCUGUGUUUGAAAGAAUUUAUCAUAUCUUUACCAUUCUAAUAAUGCUAACCUGAACAUGAGUAUCUGCUCUGCAAUUGUGACCAGGACUAUGACUGUUUCUUCCUUCCCUUCACAUGUUAAUUCCUCCCCCUCCUUUACUGUGCUGUGUUAAAGGA